This 497-nucleotide ribosomal RNA is filed under the name uncultured bacterium. RNAcentral's name for it is "partial 16S ribosomal RNA". It matches the Rfam family "Bacterial small subunit ribosomal RNA", at positions 28 to 507 of the family's 1533-position model. The record is from RNAcentral.
GAUGAACGCUGGCGGCGUGCCUAAUACAUGCAAGUCGAGCGAACAGACGAGGAGCUUGCUCCCCCGACGUUAGCUGCGGACGGGUGAGUAACACGUGGAUAACCUACCUAUAAGACUGGGAUAACUUCGGGAAACCGGAGCUAAUACCGGAUAAUAUAUUUAAACACAUGGUUCAAUAGUGAAAGACGGUUUUGCUGUAACUUAUACAUGUCUCCCCUCCUCAUUAGCUGGUUGGUAGGGUAACGGCUAACCAAGGCAACAGUCCGUAGCGGACUUAGGAGGGUAAUCGCCCACACUGGACCAAGGACACGCUCCAGAGUCCGCCGGGAGGAGCCAGUGGGGAGUCUUCGGCAAUGAGCGAAAGCUUGACGGAGAAAACCCGGGUGAGUGAUGAAGGUCUCCGGAUGGAAAAACUCUGUUAUUAGGAAGAAAGUAGUGUAUAGGUGAAUAUGCAUGAAUUGACGGUACCUAAUCAGAAAGCCACGGCUAACUACGUG